UGGCUAGGGAGGGAACUUUCUUUUCUGAAGCCAAAAUGACAUGGACAAGAAUUGACCAAAUAUGGAUUACUAGAGGACUGGCACCUAAGACUCGAAAAGCGGAAAUUUGCCCUAAAACCUGCUCCGACCAUAAUGCCGUGAAAAUGGAGAUGAAAUUAACACCUACCGGCUCCUUCAGAUGGAGGAUGAAUGACACCUUGUUUAGAGAUCAAGAAGUUGUCAAGAAGGCCCAAAAAACCUUGAGAGACUACUUUGAGAUAAAUAUGAAUACUAGCAUCGAAAAAAGAGUAAUCUGGGAUGCAAGUAAAGCAGUUAUGAGAGGGUUUCUAAUUCAACAGAAUGCAAUAAAGAAGAGAACUCAAAAUGCG
Podarcis lilfordi (Lilford's wall lizard) is the source of this 368-nucleotide non-coding RNA. The record is from the annotation of a GenBank genome assembly. Lineage: Eukaryota; Metazoa; Chordata; Lepidosauria; Squamata; Lacertidae.